CCCCCAUUACAACUUCCGUUUUUCAGUAGGGACGAUUGUAGUUCUGUGUAUUUUAGGGUGUAAAGUCUUUUUUUGCUGCCAGCCUGCCGUUUUUGGUGUACAGGUGCAUGCUUGGUAUCAAAAUGAUGGAAAUUGUCUAAGCUUUGGGCAGGUAUGAGUUUUAAUGGUGAAAGUUUGAAAUUCUGGGCGAGAGGACACAAGGAGACAGGUGGUGAUGAGGCUGCGAGUGACGUCCCCUUGGCGUUGCUAGGCACCCCUCCCAGCUGCCGGCAUGGAAAGGUCCAGAUUUUGACGGUCAACCUAUGUCAAGAUUUUUACAGCUUCUUUCUCACAGGCUGGGCCAGGUUAAAAAGUAUAGCUUUUCCCCUCUUCUUGGGUCCCUUCAACAUGUCUUGGGAGGGUUGCCUUGCUGACUGUCUGAAUGACCAAUGUGCAUGUACUGUGUGGCUUUAUUUUUGUAAGUGGCAAAUUCAUAUUUCUCCCCUCUACUUAUCUCUUGUAGAUGCCAGUGUCACACUUUGGUGUUUGUUAUGUAGAAAGUACUAAUUUAGUCUGAGGCAACAACACAGGUGGUGGGAUUCUUUUGCACUGUGAGUUGAGAUAUACAUACCAGCUUUCCAAAACAUUUGACCUGGUUGAGAUAUUUUGAACGGUAUGUGCACUACAGAGCUUUGAACUUCAUGCUUGAGGACGGACAAACAGACACAUUUCCAAGAUAGGGGUACCCCAAGUUAAAUUCCUCCUACUCAAAAGUUUUUGCAUGUAUCAAGCUGUAACUUUAUGUGUGAGGUUUAGAGGUAGUAAGCAUUAUGUGGUGCAAAAAUUAUUGAUUUUGAAAAAAGUUGGCUGGUGUGAUAGGACACAGACCCCCAUUACAACUUCCGUUUUUCAGUAGGGACGAUUGUAGUUCUGUGUAUUUUAGGGUGUAAAGUCUUUUUUUGCUGCCAGCCUGCCGUUUUUGGUGUACAGGUGCAUGCUUGGUAUCAAAAUGAUGGAAAUUGUCUAAGCUUUGGGCAGGUAUGAGUUUUAAUGGUGAAAGUUUGAAAUUCUGGGCGAGAGGACACAAGGAGACAGGUGGUGAUGAGGCUGCGAGUGACGUCCCCUUGGCGUUGCUAGGCACCCCUCCCAGCUGCCGGCAUGGAAAGGUCCAGAUUUUGACGGUCAACCUAUGUCAAGAUUUUUACAGCUUCUUUCUCACAGGCUGGGCCAGGUAUGCACCAAAGCUUAUUGGCCUCGGAAUGUUUGGGACUGAGCUACAGCGCUAAACGUUAACAUUGUCGCUUAUGGAAAACUAA
This is a long non-coding RNA of Liolophura sinensis, 1295 nucleotides long. RefSeq lists it as uncharacterized. The record is from RefSeq and is a predicted model, not a curated record. The transcript is spliced from 3 exons. NCBI's taxonomy places the organism in Eukaryota, Metazoa, Mollusca, Polyplacophora, Chitonida, Chitonidae.